UCGUAACAAGGUUUCCGUAGGUGAACCUGCGGAAGGAUCAUUACCGAGUGCGGGCUGCCUCCGGGCGCCCAACCUCCCACCCGUGACUACCUAACACUGUUGCUUCGGCGGGGAGCCCCCCAGGGGGCGAGCCGCCGGGGACCACUGAACUUCAUGCCUGAGAGUGAUGCAGUCUGAGCCUGAAUACAAAUCAGUCAAAACUUUCAACAAUGGAUCUCUUGGUUCCGGCAUCGAUGAAGAACGCAGCGAACUGCGAUAAGUAAUGUGAAUUGCAGAAUUCAGUGAAUCAUCGAGUCUUUGAACGCACAUUGCGCCCCCUGGCAUUCCGGGGGGCAUGCCUGUCCGAGCGUCAUUGCUGCCCUCAAGCCCGGCUUGUGUGUUGGGUCGUCGUCCCCCCCCGGGGGACGGGCCCGAAAGGCAGCGGCGGCACCGUGUCCGGUCCUCGAGCGUAUGGGGCUUUGUCACCCGCUCGAUUAGGGCCGGCCGGGCGCCAGCCGGCGUCUCCAACCUUAUUUUUCUCAGGUUGACCUCGGAUCAGGUAGGGAUACCCGCUGAACUUAAGCAUAUCA
This 569-nucleotide unclassified non-coding RNA is filed under the name Aspergillus spinulosporus. RNAcentral describes it as "sequence contains 18S rRNA gene, ITS1, 5.8S rRNA gene, ITS2, 28S rRNA gene". The stretch from base 199 to 352 matches the Rfam family "5.8S ribosomal RNA". Lineage: Eukaryota; Fungi; Ascomycota; Eurotiomycetes; Eurotiales; Aspergillaceae. The record is from RNAcentral.